This 254-nucleotide ribosomal RNA is filed under the name uncultured bacterium. Its description in RNAcentral is "partial 16S ribosomal RNA". It matches the Rfam family "Bacterial small subunit ribosomal RNA", at positions 524 to 776 of the family's 1533-position model. The record is from RNAcentral.
UACGUAGGGGGCGAGCGUUGUCCGGAUUUAUUGGGCGUAAAGAGCUCGUAGGCGGUUCGGUAAGUCGGAUGUGAAAUCUCCACGCUCAACGUGGAGGGGCCAUUCGAUACUGCCGUGACUCGAGUCCGGUAGGGGAGUGUGGAAUUCCCGGUGUAGCGGUGAAAUGCGCAGAGAUCGGGAGGAACACCCGUAGCGAAGGCGGCACUCUGGGCCGGUACUGACGCUCAUGCACGAAAGCGUGGGGAGCAAACAGG